UUACCCCGCUGGAACUUAAGCAUAUCAAUAAGCGGAGGAAAAGAAACCAACAGGGAUUGCCUUAGUAACGGCGAGUGAAGCGGCAACAGCUCAAAUUUGAAAUCUGGCUCUUUUAGGGUCCGAGUUGUAAUUUGCAGAGGGCGCUUUGGCAUUGGCAGCGGUCCAAGUUCCUUGGAACAGGACGUCACAGAGGGUGAGAAUCCCGUACGUGGUCGCUAGCCCUUGCCGUGUAAAGCCCCUUCGACGAGUCGAGUUGUUUGGGAAUGCAGCUCUAAAUGGGAGGUAAAUUUCUUCUAAAGCUAAAUAUUGGCCAGAGACCGAUAGCGCACAAGUAGAGUGAUCGAAAGAUGAAAAGCACUUUGGAAAGAGAGUCAAACAGCACGUGAAAUUGUUGAAAGGGAAGCGCUUGCAGCCAGACUUGCCUGUAGUUGUUCAUCCGGACUUUUGUCCGGUGCACUCUUCUGCGGGCAGGCCAGCAUCAGUUUGGGCGGUUGGAUAAAGGUCUCUGUCAUGUACCUCUCUUCGGGGAGGCCUUAUAGGGGAGGCGACAUACAACCAGCCUGGACUGAGGUCCGCGCAUUUGCUAGGAUGCUGGCGUAAUGGCUGUAAGCGGCCCGUCUUGAAACACGGACCAAGGAGUCUAACAUCUAUGCGAGUGUUUGGGUGUCAAGCCCGAGCGCGUAAUGAAAGUGAACGGAGGUGGGAACCCUUUUUAGGGGUGCACCAUCGACCGAUCCUGAUGUCUUCGGAAGGAUUUGAGUAAGAGCAUGGCUGUUGGGACCCGAAAGAUGGUGAACUAUGCUUGAAUAGGGUGAAGCCAGAGGAAACUCUGGUGGAGGCUCGCAGCGGUUCUGACGUGCAAAUCGAUCGUCAAAUUUGGGCAUAGGGGCGAAAGACUAAUCGAACUAUCUAGUAGCUGGUUCCUGCCGAAUCCUCCUCUC
RNAcentral lists this ribosomal RNA (941 nucleotides) under Tamaricicola muriformis. RNAcentral describes it as "eukaryotic LSU rRNA". It matches the Rfam family "Eukaryotic large subunit ribosomal RNA", at positions 24 to 974 of the family's 3401-position model. The record is from RNAcentral. Lineage: Eukaryota; Fungi; Ascomycota; Dothideomycetes; Pleosporales; Pleosporaceae.